Molecule: ribosomal RNA, 658 nt
Filed under: uncultured bacterium
Lineage: Bacteria
Description: bacterial SSU rRNA
Rfam family: Bacterial small subunit ribosomal RNA
Source: RNAcentral
CACGGCACCGCAUGGUGCUGAGGGAAAAGGACUUCGGUUUGCUUCGGGAUGGACUCGCGUCCAAUUAGCUAGUUGGUGAGGUAACGGCCCACCAAGGCGACGAUUGGUAGCCGGACUGAGAGGUUGAACGGCCACAUUGGGACUGAGACACGGCCCAGACUCCUACGGGAGGCAGCAGUGGGGAAUAUUGCACAAUGGGGGAAACCCUGAUGCAGCGACGCCGCGUGGAGGAAGAAGGUUUUCGGAUUGUAAACUCCUGUCUUCGGGGACGAUAAUGACGGUACCCGAGGAGGAAGCCACGGCUAACUACGUGCCAGCAGCCGCGGUAAAACGUAGGUGGCAAGCGUUGUCCGGAAUUACUGGGUGUAAAGGGAGCGCAGGCGGGUCGGCAAGUUGGAGGUGAAAGCUGUGGGCUCAACCCACAAACUGCCUUCAAAACUGCCGAUCUUGAGUGGUGUAGAGGUAGGCGGAAUUCCCGGUGUAGCGGUGGAAUGCGUAGAUAUCGGGAGGAACACCAGUGGCGAAGGCGGCCUACUGGGCACUAACUGACGCUGAGGCUCGAAAGCAUGGGUAGCAAACAGGAUUAGAUACCCUGGUAGUCCAUGCCGUAAACGAUGAUUACUAGGUGUGGGAGGAUUGACCCCUUCCGUGCCGCAGU